RNAcentral lists this long non-coding RNA (1242 nucleotides) under Calidris pugnax (ruff). RNAcentral describes it as "lncRNA (ENSCPUG00000002006.1)". The record is from RNAcentral. Lineage: Eukaryota; Metazoa; Chordata; Aves; Charadriiformes; Scolopacidae.
AUGGUUUCUCCAAAAAAGGAGAAAAGAACCAAUCCAGAGGCUCAGUCACAGUCAGAAGCUUGCAAAAAGACAGAUAUUAAAACUAAACCAAUAAAAUCUGGAAAACUUGCUCCGAGGACAAAGAAUGGCCCAACUCUCCCUUGUGGUUACUCCGAGCAGCAGCAGGAUGUCCCAGCCAGGCGCUGUCUCUGGCAUGUCCUAGUGUCCCCGCCGAUGCCCGCAGGCUGUCGCCCACGGCUGGAGGACACAGUUCCCCCUCGGGUGGUGAAGGCACAAGGAGCACCGAGCACCUGUAAAUCACAAAAAAAGUGCCCCAAAAUAUCACCGAUCUGGGCUCCACAGAUCCACUCCCGCCAGGCUCAGCAUGUUCCUGCUGAAGGCCAAGGACAUUUAGUAGCCACGUUUGGGAGGAGAAAGGACUGCUGGCUUUUUGUGCAGCGAAGCCACGGGCACGGAGCUGCGGGUGAGAUUCCCAGCAGCUUCCAAAGGCGAUGGCCAGCCCUCGGCCCCUCUGCCUCCUUCCUUCCUUGCAUCCAGACCCACGCAGCCCCUGCUGCUCUCGGUGGGGAGAUGUGGGCACGUGUGCCCCGCACAGGUACAGGCACCGCGGAGGCUCGCCAAGCGCGGGCACAAACCCAGCUGCCAUAUGGGAAAGGGGAGGGAAGGAGCUGGGAAAGAGCCCGUUCCUGGCUUUUCCCGAGGUUUGGCGUGCACAAUUCCAGUGCUGAUAAAACAGGGAGGGGGCAGGAAGGCUCAUGGCGGCCGCAGGGAGUUUUGAGUCAAGUGAACUCGCUGCUAAUCCUCUUCUACAGGGUCUUUCUUGCGGGAGGAAAUCUUAUGACUCCGGGGAGAAGUAUGUUGUGUAACCAAGCAAUGGUGAACCUGAGUUGCAUUUCACAGGGCUUGGCACAGGCAGGAGAGAGUAGGGUACUCAUCCCCAGAGAGCGUGAGAGAGACCGUCCCAGUGCAUCGCCCGUCGGCUUUGAGUCCUUAAAAGCCCUGGAGCGGCCUUGGGAGAGGAGCUCAAGUAAAGGGAAAAAAAAAAAAAAAGAAAAAAAGCAAGAAAAAAAGCCCCCAAACCCUAAAGGAAUCAGCUCACUGCCCAGGGCUUCCCUGCACUUGUUGUUGAAACAUUGUCUAAUGUCCCUUUGCACUGCACGGAGCUUUGAAAUCCGCAGGAUCAAAGCCGUAUGGAGGCACUAUGGAUGUGCCCAGGCAAAUUUAAAGGCAUUUUACAAUUAG